RNAcentral lists this long non-coding RNA (7953 nucleotides) under Ananas comosus (pineapple). Its description in RNAcentral is "long non-coding RNA (ACOM_LNC026591)". The record is from RNAcentral. Lineage: Eukaryota; Viridiplantae; Streptophyta; Magnoliopsida; Poales; Bromeliaceae.
UCUAUCAUGCCAUCAAUGAUAAUAAUGGAUGCAACAACUACUAUCAUGCUAGUAUCAUGUCAUGAGUAUAUAAAGGUGCAUAGUAAUGUAAACUACAACAUACACUAUGUCUACUCAAGGCAAUAAUGCAAGUCUACUAUACAUUUCAUGUUUAUUACCCAAUUUACUUGGUUAACCCGUAGGUUAAACCCUCGACUCACUCUCAAUCUCAUAGGUGAGGAGAAACUGCACUCGCACACCGAGACCGUCUGCGGGACAACUACGUCUGCCCCUAGUGAAGUACUCCGGAGACUCGUGCCUCGGUGGAGCGACCACCGACAAGCAAAAACAGACUAGUUAGUAUGAUCCAAUCCUCACAAAAGGAUACCCUGUCUACUAGGGUCAAUGUGCCUCUGCUGCACAAUCAUGAUAUAUAAUCCAUGUCGGGACUUCUACUAUCCCUAAGUUCAUGUCAAGUUUACUACACUAGACUCGAUGCCACUCAUUCGAUCAUUGUAGUAAGUUUUCUACUAGUUGACAUGCCACUCGUUCAAAUUUAGUGUUUCUACUACACUAGUUCAAUGCCACUCUACUAGACUAUGUCCAAGUUCGGCUCUCUAUGCCGCUAUAGGAUUCUAUGUCACAAGACCCAAUCCUCAUGCUAUCCUAGUCCACGUAUCAAGCUCACCCCGCUACACUACUAAGUAAGCAUGCAAGGAAAUGGAAAUGUACAAUUACUAUAUCCUAUAGCACAAUAUGAUCAAUAUAAAUACUUAGACAUAAAAAGAAACCCGGAUGUUUCGAGACGACACCCUCCACCUCUUGGUGAUGUCUUGAAGCUACGAUUCCGUUUCCAAGAUUUUUGGAAGCUUUCGCCGCGUGCUGUGGCAAUCUGUACCCUAGCGGCUUAGAUCUUCGAUAUCUCCGCGUACACUCGUCGGAUUGCCGAACCGAGCGCACCGUUGUGUCGAAAUACCUACCAAUUAGGUUAGAUGAUGGUCAAAUGAGAUCAAUCCUUUACUUUUCCAAAAACCCUCUUUUGGUGCCCUAGGGUUAGCAUCAAGCUAAACCCAUCUCAAAACCCUAGAUUCUAGCUCCAAUCCUACCAUUCAUUGUGCUAGGAAUCCAUUUGAUCCCAUCCAAAGAGCUAAAACCCAAAAACCCUAAAUUCAUAAGCUAGGGUUGGAAGCUUACAUCUAGGUUAGCUUAAAAGAGAGAGAAGAGGAUGAGGGCGAAGUCCAAAAGCUUGCUUUUGUUGGUCUCCUUCUUCUUCUCCUUCCCUUUCUUCCUUCUUUUCCUUCUCUUUUCCUUUUCUUCUUCUUCUUCUUCUUUCCCUUCUAUAGAGAGAGAGAGAGCAAGAGAGUGUGAGGGGGAGAGAGAGUAGAAUGAGAGAGUGAGAGGGAGAGAGGGGCUAAUAAGCCCUCUAAUGUAACAAUAUCCCAGCAGCCCCCUCCACUUUUCAUCCUAUGCACUGCCCCUCACUGGGCAUUCUGCGCCCAGAGGGACCGGUCUCCCCGACUUGGGACCGGUCCCCGAGAGCUUCAGCUCGGGUCACGCGUUCGGGUACCGGUCUCUCCCAGAGAGACCGAUCCUCGGGAGACCGGUUCCUUCCUGAGAGACCGGUUCCCGAGAACUGGGAUUUCAGGACUUAGCCAUAUUUUGGCUUUUCUCGCUGGUCUCGCGUUCGGGGACCGGUCCCUCACUGCCAGGGACCGGUUGCCUCAAGCAACCCCGCAACUCCCACUGAUGGGACCGGUCCCUCCCUGCCAAGGACCGGUCCCCGAGAGCAGUUUUGCUCUAGUGCAGGUUUUGCACUAUUUGCUCUCGUGGACUCGUUUCCAAUGCACUUUUGGUGAUUAUGAUAUCUUUGGCUUUUCCAAAGCUCACCAAUACGACCCUUGGUCGAUUCUGGAUGAAGUCUAAUCCUCGUAUUUCGAGAAUUCACUUCCUCACAUCCUCCCCUCCUAAAAAGGAGUUUCGUCCUCGAAACGAAUUUACUAUUUUAAUCAACUCCUACCUCAUUGCAUUUCUGUAAAGAGAUGAGGAUAGUGCGCUUUCAUCGUUUCCUCGAGUUCCCACGUGGCCUCACGAUCGUCGUGACCGGUCCAACGAAUCUUCACAUAGGAAAUUUCAUGAUUUCUCAAUUUCCGCACUUCUCGAGCAAUGAUCAUCGCCGGGAACUCUUCAUAGCUUAAAUCCUCUUGUAGAUCCGGCGGUUCAUAGUACAUCACGUGCUCGGGAUCGUGGAUAUACUUGCGAAGGUUAGAAACGUUGAAUACAUCAUGCACACCCGCGAGCUUCGGCGGUAAUGCAAGUCGGUAUGCUACCGCUCCAACACGUUCCAACGCCUCGAAAGGUCCGAUAUAUCGGGGACUUAGCUUUCCCCGCACUCCGAAGCGCUUCACACCUCUCAUAGGUGAAACCUUCAAGAAAACGCGGUCACCCACCGCGAAUUCCAAAUCUCUACGGCGUUUGUCAGAAUAGCUCUUUUGCCUCGACUGUGCCGUAAGUAGUCUCUCGCGAGCGAGAUAGACCUUCUCUUCUGCCUCCCGCAAUACGUCUGGGCCCAAUGCCGCAUGCUCACCCACAUCGCUCCAACAUAUAGGAGAUCCGCACUUCCGUCCAUAUAGGACCUCGAACGGUGCCAUCCCAAUGCUAGCUUGAUAACUGUUAUUGUAGGCGAACUUGGCAAUCCUCAAAUGGUUUGCCCAACUACUCUUGUAGUCAAUGACACACGCCCGCAACAUAUCCUCCAGAAUCUGUAUAGUCCUUUCUGACUGUCCGUCUGUCUGAGGAUGAAACGCGGUGCUGAAAUCGAGCCGUGUGCCAAGUGCUUCCUGCAGGCUUUUCCAAAAGUGCGAAGUAAAACGGGGGUCUCGAUCUGACACGAUCGACUUCGGAAUCCCGUGCAACCUCACAACUUCAUCCAAGUAUACCUGCGCCAACUUGUCGCCCGACCAGGUGGUGUGAAUCGGUAGAAAGUGUGCCGACUUGGUCAUACGAUCCACAAUCACCCAGAUCGCGUCGUGGCCACCCGUCAAACGGGGCAAUCCGACCACGAAGUCCAUCGCUAUAUUCUCCCAUUUCCAAACGGGAAUAGGUAAACUUUGGAGCUUUCCCGCUGAAAAUCGGCGCUCAGCCUUCACUUGCUGGCAUAUUAAACAUUGCGCUACAUAGCGCCCAAUAUCCGCUUUCAUGCCCGGCCACCAGUACUGCAUCUUCAGAUCACGGUACAUCUUGGUGCCGCCCGGGUGAAUGCUAUAAGGAGUCCGAUGUGCUUCUUGUAAGAUCAACUUCCGGGCCUCCUCGUUUUUCGGUACGCACCAUCGGUUCCGAAAUCGAAGCGCACCCUCGGCGUCUAUAUUGAAAUCACCGCCGUGUCCACUUUCGAUGUCUCGCCGCACUUUUUGGAGGUUAGGGUCUGCAGGUUGCAAACUCUUGAUCUGCUCCAACAAGGUCGGUUGGACAACGAGAGCCGUAAGCAUAGACGGAAUUUCCGGAGCUACCACCUCUAGAUCCAAUCAUUCCAUCUCUCUCCAUAGUGGUUCUUGACGUGUGACUAACAUAGCAAGAUUCUCCACUGACUUCCUGCUAAGCGCUUCGGCCACCACGUUUGCUUUUCCGGGGUGGUAUAGGAUUGUAACAUCGAAAUCCUUUAGCAACUCAAACCACCGCCGCUGCCGCAUAUUAAGCUCUUUCUGUGUGAAAAGGUACUUCAGACUUUUGUGGUCCGUGUAUAUCUCGCAACGCGCGCCAUACAGGUAGUGCCUCCAUAGCUUGAGGGCAAACACUACGGCGGCCAACUCUAAGUCAUGGACAGGGUAGUUCUUCUCAUAGCUUUUCAAUUGACGGGACGCAUAAGCGAUCACCUUCCCGCCUUGCAUCAGAACACACCCUAAGCCCGAUUGUGACGCGUUGCUAUACACCACAAAGUCUUCAUCUUGCACCGGUAAGGCGAGCACCGGAGUCGAAGUUAAUCUAUCCUUCAACUCUUGAAAACUCCGGUUGCACUCGUCAUUCCAAAUGAACUUGGUGCCUUUUCGAGUCAGAUGGGUAAGUGGACCCACGAUCUUCGAGAAUCCCUCCACGAACCGUCUAUAAUAACCCGCUAAACCUACAAAGCUUCGAACUUCCGUGACGUUAGUCGGGCGAGGCCAAUCCUUGAUCGCCUCCACUUUCCUCGGGUCAACAGAUACUCCUCCCUCGGAAAUGACAUGCCCAAGAAAUGCAACCUCUCGGAGCCAAAAGUUGCAUUUCUUAAACUUAGCAUAUAGCUUCUCCUCCCGGAGGACUUAAAGCACUAUUCUCAAAUGCUCGGCAUGUUCCUCGUCGCUACGCGAGUAGACUAAGAUGUCGUCUAUGAAGACCACGACAAAUCGGUCCAAGUACUCCUUGAAGACACGGUUCAUUAGAUCCAUGAACGCUGCCGGGACGUUAGUGAGCCCAAACGGCAUGACCGUGAAUUCAUAGUGUCCGUACCGCGUGCGAAAUGCGGUCUUUUGCACAUCUUCCGGUUUGAUCUUAAGUUGGUGAUAACCGGACUGCAGAUCGAUCUUUGAAUAAACCCGAGACCCUUGCAACUGAUCAAACAGAUCGUCAAUUCUCGGCAACGGGUACUUAUUCUUGAUCGUGACCUUUUUCAACUCGCGAUAGUCGACGUAGAGUUGAAACGAUCCAUCCUUCUUUCGCACAAAUAGAACCGGGGCUCCCCACGGCGAUACACUUGGCCGUAUAAAUCCUUUAUCAAGGAGAUCCAAUAAUUGAGCCCGCAAUUCCUUCAAUUCCGCCGGCGCCAUCCGAUACGGAGCCUUCGACACAGGCGCGGUUCCUGGAACCAAGUCUAUCACGAACUCGAUCUUCCGGUCUGGCGGCAUUCCCGGCAACUCCGCGGAAAAUACAUCAGAAAAUUCCUGAACCACGGAUAGUUCCUCAAGUGCCGCAGUCGCCCUCUCGACUUCCACAACAGUCGCCAAGUAGGCCGUACAACCGCCGUUAAUCAACUUCCUCGCCCUCGUCGCCGAUACCAUAGCGGCGAAGUGCGAGCUUCUAUAGGCCCGGUAGACAAAUUCCUCUUGUCCCGGUUCACGAAACGUAAUCACUUUACUUCUACAGUGAAUAGUUGCAUAGUACUUCGAAAGCCAAUCCAUUCCUAGAAUGACGUCGAAGUCUUUCAACUUCUUGAAUACCAACAUACGGAUGGGCAUUAUCCAAUCGCCCAACCGCACGGGACAAGACGAACACUCCAUACGUACUAGAAAAUCACGUCCGGGGCCCGAUACUCUCCAAGUGCUUUUACUCUCUUGUAGUUCUAUGUCAUGCAUGCGUGCAAAUGACCUACUGAUGAAUGAAUGCAUAGCACCUGUAUCAAACAUAGCCCUAGAGCGAACUCCGUUAAUUAAAACCAUACCUGCGAGUACAUGGCGAUCCUCCGCCUCAGCAGGUUCCUCGGCUUGAGUUUGAGCGGCAAACACCCGCCCACUCAGAGCCGAUCUCGUCGCCUCAGGUUGGCGUGGCACCAUCGCACGUCCGGCCGAUGACGCAGCAGGUGGGACUCCUCCAUAAUGCGCUGGGGUCGCCGGAGCCGACGCGACCAAAGGGGCAGGCGAAGCCCUCAUUCGACAGUGGCGGCUGAUAUGGCCCGCCUGUCCACACGUGAAGCACUUUCCCUCCCGUUGAUCACACAUCCUCGGCUCGUGGUUCCCACCGCAGAUUAUGCACCGCUGCGGUCCGCGGCCCUUGGAUUGCGUUCGCGGGUACUUCGGGGGCUUCCUUGGCCUCGAUUGAGCUCCCGAGCUACUCUGAGCCCGCUUCUUGCCACCGUCCUUCUCGGACGCUUCUCGCUCCUCCCGGAUGUGAGCGUUUCCUUGCUCCGACCACAACGCUCGAUCGAGCACCUCCGCGAAGGUAGUGAGCUUCAGAAUGUGCAACGCCCGGUAGAUAUCGGCCCGGAGCCCUCGCUCGAACCAAUCGGCUCGAUCCCUGUCAUCCCGCACUACGUCGGGGACGCAGUCAAUGAUGUGAGAGAACUCCUGCUCAUAUUCCGCCACCGUGCGGCCACCUUGCUUCAACUUUCGAAAUUGCUCUUGCUUCUUCUUCUCGCUAUCGGGGAAGUAGUUGACAUAGAACAAUCCCCGAAAUUCCUCCCACGUCAUCGGCGGAAGGUCGGAAGCCCGGUUCCUCUUGAUUCGCUUCCACCAAACCUUCGCCGUUUGCUCCAAACAAUGAGUGGCGAGGUAGACCUUGUCCCUCUCUGAGGUGUAGAGGUCCUCGAACAAGGUCUCCGUCGAGUCCACCCAUGACUCGACCAUCCAUGGCUCGACCUUCUCUCCCUCGAAGGUCGGUGGAUUAAACCUUCGAAACUUCUCGAGAGCCGCAAGUGCGCGGUCCCUCUCCGCCUCCAAUGCCGUCGUAUCGGGUGCCGUAGAACCCGACGCCGCCAGAGGAACGCUCGCCGGCGGGGGACGUGCCGCCACCGGAACUGCCGCAAUGCCCUCGCCCUCAGCCGCCGUAGGCGCACGAGCUGGAGGCGGGGGCGGAUCACGGCCCUCAGUCGCAGCUGCAGUUGCCGCUGCAAAAUGCCGCUCCAUAAGCCCUUGGAGCUGCUCAAACCGACUCUCCUGGCGCUGUACAAUGCCUGUUAAUGCCGACACUUGCGCCCGUAACUCCCUCACUUCACUAGAUCCGGCUUCCUCGGGCACCUCAGGAGAUGGUGCCGGAACGGACCUACGCACGUAGCGUCUUGGGGACAUUGUUCCUGCAACGCAACAACCGGGUUAGUCAUCUAACCCACUUAUCUCCGUCGCAUACACUAUAUUACGCGACACAACUCCGCCAUAAGCGGACGUACACAUGUAUUAGUCCUAACUCUUAGCGUCGUGUUGUCGGCCGCCAACACAACUCCGCGACCUUGGAACUAACACCGCUCGGAUCCAUCUCUAGCCACACUAGAGGUCUACACUCGAUCCGACCUAAUCGGAUUCUUCCUCAACCGAUAUAGGUUUACGUUCCUCUCACGUACCUAUACAACCCUAGGGUUCACCGUCCUAAGGUCUCUUAGGUCCAUCCUAGACCCUCUCUUUACUUGCUCUUAAUUGCUCUGAUACCAACUUUCUUUUGUCAUGCCCCGCCCCGAAUCCACUACCAAUUUGGCACGGUUCGGGCGCGCCGGACGGACCGCCGAACGGACAGCACCUCUCCUGUCCGCCCAAGGCCAAGCAACCAGAUGAUGUACAAGAAUUUGCCCAGGAGAAUAAAUUCAAUACAUACAUGAUCGACUAAGGCACACAAGUACAAAGUAACUAAGAGCAAGAACCACAAGUGAAUGUAUAAGUGUAUAAAGAGAGAUAGUCUAACUAUUACAACCAUUCAAUAUUUACAUCAUUGAAUAUAUUACAUUUCCACCUUCCAAAAUGUAAAUAUAUGUUUUCCUCAAAAUAUAUAGGUAGCUCUCCAAUAUCUAUCCAAAACAUCAUCUAGUACACGAGGGUACUCUAAUGCAUAAAAGGAAAAGCUACUAACUAAGCUCACUUAAGGCGCUAAGCCCUUGCCGCGAUCCUCGCUCGACUCACCUCUGUGUGUACCUGUACCCCAAAACCACACGGGGUGAGAACUAUAUAAAUAUAGUUCCCAGUGGGUUCGGCCGCCGACGCCGCCGGUUCUCCCACUAGGUCUAAGCUGGCACAGAUAGAGAGAUAGAUAGAUAUACGUAGAAAAUAAACUGCAACUACUCUAUCAUGCCAUCAAUGAUAAUAAUGCAUGCAACAACUACUAUCAUGCUAGUAUCAUGUCAUGAGUAUAUAAAGGUGCAUAGUAAUGUAAACUACAACAUACACUAUGUCUACUCAAGGUAACUAGUUCAAUGCCACUCUACUAGACUAUGUCCAAGUUCGGCUCUCUAUGCCGCUAUAGGAUUCUAUGUCACAAGACCCAAUCCUCAUGCUAUCCUAGUCCACGUGUCAAGCUCACCCCGCUACA